Molecule: ribosomal RNA, 608 nt
Filed under: uncultured bacterium
Lineage: Bacteria
Description: bacterial SSU rRNA
Rfam family: Bacterial small subunit ribosomal RNA
Source: RNAcentral
CCUACGGGAGGCAGCAGUGAGGAAUAUUGGACAAUGGGCGCAAGCCUGAUCCAGCCAUGCCGCGUGCAGGAAGACGGUCCUAUGGAUUGUAAACUGCUUUUAUACAGGAAGAAAUACUUUCUCGUGAGAGAGCUUGACGGUACUGUAAGAAUAAGGAUCGGCUAACUCCGUGCCAGCAGCCGCGGUAAUACGGAGGAUCCAAGCGUUAUCCGGAAUCAUUGGGUUUAAAGGGUCCGUAGGCGGUUUAAUAAGUCAGUGGUGAAAUCUGGUCGCUCAACGAUCAAACGGCCAUUGAUACUGUUAGACUUGAAUUAUUGUGAAGUAACUAGAAUAUGUAGUGUAGCGGUGAAAUGCUUAGAUAUUACAUGGAAUACCAAUUGCGAAGGCAGGUUACUAACAAUGGAUUGACGCUGAUGGACGAAAGCGUGGGGAGCGAACAGGAUUAGAUACCCUGGUAGUCCACGCCGUAAACGAUGGAUACUAGCUGUUGGGCGCAAGUUCAGUGGCUAAGCGAAAGUGAUAAGUAUCCCACCUGGGGAGUACGUUCGCAGAAUGAAACUCAAAGGAUUGACGGCUGAGACCGAGCGAGACGACGACGAGGGAGGAGG